RNAcentral lists this non-coding RNA (25 nucleotides) under Drosophila erecta. RNAcentral also lists the same sequence under 1 other name. Lineage: Eukaryota; Metazoa; Arthropoda; Insecta; Diptera; Drosophilidae. The record is from RNAcentral.
UAAAAGCAUGCAGGGCGUCGGCUCU